UACAUGGGGUGCAAACGUUGCUCGGAAUUACUGGGCGUAAAGGGCGCGUAGGCGGCAUGGCAAGUCAGGCGUGAAAGGCCUGGGCUCAACCGAGGAACUGCUUUUGAUACUGCCAAGCUAGAGUGCGGAAGGGGCAACUGGAAUUCCCAGUGUAGCGGUGAAAUGCGUAGAUAUUGGGAGGAACACCAGUGGCGAAGGCGGCUCACUGGACCGGUACUGACGCUGAUGCGCGAAAGCGUGGGGAGCAAACGGG
RNAcentral lists this ribosomal RNA (253 nucleotides) under uncultured bacterium. RNAcentral describes it as "partial 16S ribosomal RNA". It matches the Rfam family "Bacterial small subunit ribosomal RNA", at positions 524 to 776 of the family's 1533-position model. The record is from RNAcentral.